Tetranychus urticae (two-spotted spider mite) is the source of this 1635-nucleotide non-coding RNA. Lineage: Eukaryota; Metazoa; Arthropoda; Arachnida; Trombidiformes; Tetranychidae. The record is from RefSeq and is a predicted model, not a curated record.
GCGAUUACAAAAAAAACGGUUAAAUGUACGUUUGUGUUGUUAAACUGGUCCUUUUUAUGGAAUUAAUAUAAAAUUGAUUAAUUAUUGUGAAUCCACUAAUGUAUAAGGAAACAACUGAAGUGAUGAUUGUGACGAGUCUCUGCUUUCAACCUUUUUUUUGGUAGCCAGUUUAACAUACUCACAAGGAUAAAUAAUAACAUUACAUUGUUUUUGUGAAUGUUUUUUUCUUCACCCAAGGAAGAAGGAGGAGAUUAUCCUGUAACUUGGAGAGGUGGAGAUUAUUAUUAUCAUCAGAUUAGAGGAGUUUGCGUCUCAAUCUUAGACAAUUUCAUGGAGCGGAGGGUUCACAAUGUACAGGUUUGGUGGUUUGAUGUUCAUUUAUCCGAUCAUAUGGGUUCAUUUUUGAAUAGCUUCUGGAAAACAGUUGACAAUGUUUGAUGUAAGCAAACGUUUUUGUUUACUAUUACCAAUUGACUGAUUAGUGGAGCUGUAAUUUGUAAAACAUUACUGUUUGUUUUAUUAAUUGGAUUUCUGGUUAUAAAGGUGAUUAGUAGAUGAGUCAGAUUGACCUUUAAAUAGGAGACUCAGGAAGGAGAAAUAAAAUGACAAUGGAAUAAAAGAACAGGAUUAAAAUUGUUGAAGAAGACGAAGAAGAUACAUUUAAAAUGAGAGAUGAAAAAUGGUGAUGACAGGAGCCAAAGGAACGAGAAGAUGAAAACAAAGAAGAAGAAGACAGAAGACUCGAAAUUGGAAACCAAGGAAUGAAUUUAAAUUUUCCGCUCAAUGAGAUUUUCGCUCCCGCCUAAUCAUGUUUACUCUUUUGUCGUUGUUUGGUUGCUGUUGUCUCUUUUUGAUAUCACAUUUCAUUUCUUUGAAUGAAUUAACUUUUUCUCAGUGAUUACCUUCUUUAUUUCUCUCUCACUCUUGUCAACGGGUGAAUUAAGAUUACCUUAAUAGCAGUGUAAAUUAUGUUAAGCCGUUCUCAUGUUUAAAACAUGUUAAAUCAACAACCCAACUGCUCACAGAAAAUUUGAUUCGAUUGACAAGAGGACUUUGACAAUGAACCAUGCACAGGGUUAGGAUUUCAAAAGGAAAAUUGAGAUGCUGAUUAUACUUUGAGCAAACGGAAACGCCAAUGGUCACCACAUACAAACUAUCCACUUGAAGCCCUUGGGAAACAAACAAGUGCUUAUAGAUUUAUCCUCCAUACUAAUGACUUUAUUAUCUGCAAAUUAACCUCAAAUUUGGUUGUUAAUGUGAUGACAACUGAUUACCUACGUUGACUUUUGUCCAUUUCAAUCUGACUUUUCGUUUUCUAAAUCAUCAUUCAUUUGCAUUUCUUAAGAUAAAAAGAUAGAUCUUUAGAUCAUAUUGCCGUAUUUUUUUAUCUUUUGUGGUAACUAAAUAAAUGUAAAGACAUGAUGAAGAUGAAUCUAAAAAAUGAGCCAUCAUCACUUAAGCAUCUCAUCCAUUAUUUCAACUUCAACAUAGUUUAAAGUUGUAUCAUCAUCAAUCAAUAGUAGAGAUAUUUUUGCUUCCACAUAUCUCUUUAUCAGAACUUUCAAAUACCAAUUGUUUAUAUUAACUCAUGUAAAUUGUUGAUUAAAUAACAGCUGCUUAUGAUGUUCACUGCAA